AUGGCGACGGUGAGCUCCGCUGCGCUUCUCUGCAUUUAAGGAUCAUGUUUUCUAUGCUGGUGGUGCAACUGUUCAUCUUCUUAGCGGAAAUCCUCCCGAGGGCACAUCACCAGGUUUUGCCCUGUUCCCAGGUUUUUGAUGUGCGUGUGCCAGUGGGUGCACUGAGUAUACAGCCUUAUUGCCAUGAUGGAGGAUGCCCAGAAUGACCAUUAUAAACAGAAUCUCCAUCCUGUUAUCCCAGUGUAAGAAUGCUUGUUGCAGCAGCCAUGCCCGCUGGAGGACUGUGUCUCUCACCUACAGGUCUUUUCUUACCCAUCAUCCCCUUUGGACUUAAAAUGCUGCAUAGUUAAAGUCCAGAAAGGCUUCAUCGAUCUCGCUUGCCAUCUCAGCAGGGGGUCCUUUGGGCUGGGUCAGAUUCGCAGACAGUUUGGUGAACUC
This is a long non-coding RNA of Xenopus laevis (African clawed frog), 438 nucleotides long. RefSeq lists it as uncharacterized. Lineage: Eukaryota; Metazoa; Chordata; Amphibia; Anura; Pipidae. The transcript has 4 exons. The record is from RefSeq and is a predicted model, not a curated record.